Molecule: ribosomal RNA, 366 nt
Filed under: uncultured eukaryote
Lineage: Eukaryota
Description: partial 18S ribosomal RNA
Rfam family: Eukaryotic small subunit ribosomal RNA
Source: RNAcentral
CAAUAGCGUAUAUUAAAGUUGUUGCAGUUAAAAAGCUCGUAGUUGAAUUUCUGGCGGGCGCGCCGGUCUUCCAGGUGUUGUACUGGGCGCAGUCCGCCAUCCUUGUGGAGAGGGCUCGCAUUGAGUUGCGUGUCGGAUCUGCGUCAUUUACUGUGAAAAAAUUAGAGUGUUUAAAGCAGGCUGUCGCUUGAAUACAUUAGCAUGGAAUAAUAAGAUAGGACUUCGGUCUAUUUUGUUGGUUGCGAACCGAGGUAAUGAUUAAUAGGGAUAGUUGGGGGUAUUCAUAUUUAAUUGUCAGAGGUGAAAUUCUUGGAUUUAUGAAAGAUGAACAACUGCGAAAGCAUUUACCAAGGAUGUUNUCAUUAA